UCCGAAUUGGUGUAGUGGCUAACAUUUGACGCUCUCAUCUUCAUCAUUCCGUGGUGUAGGAAAAGUCCCGUCAAGCCCGGGGUUCGAUUCCCCGAUUCGGAG
This is a non-coding RNA of Xylaria sp. FL1777, 102 nucleotides long. The record is from the annotation of a GenBank genome assembly. NCBI's taxonomy places the organism in Eukaryota, Fungi, Ascomycota, Sordariomycetes, Xylariales, Xylariaceae.